UACGUAGGCAGCGAGCGUUGUUCGGAGUUACUGGGCGUAAAGAGUGCGUAGGCGGUGGCCUAAGUCUGGUGUGAAAUCUCCCGGCUCAACUGGGAGGGUGCGCCGGAAACUGGGUUGCUGGAGUAUGGGAGAGGCAAGCGGAAUUCCUGGUGUAGCGGUGAAAUGCGUAGAUAUCAGGAGGAACACCUGCGGUGUAGACGGCUUGCUGGACCAUGACUGACGCUGAGGCGCGAAAGCGUGGGGAGCGAACCGG
RNAcentral lists this ribosomal RNA (253 nucleotides) under uncultured bacterium. Its description in RNAcentral is "partial 16S ribosomal RNA". It matches the Rfam family "Bacterial small subunit ribosomal RNA", at positions 524 to 776 of the family's 1533-position model. The record is from RNAcentral.